This 457-nucleotide ribosomal RNA is filed under the name uncultured bacterium. RNAcentral's name for it is "bacterial SSU rRNA". It matches the Rfam family "Bacterial small subunit ribosomal RNA", at positions 340 to 786 of the family's 1533-position model. The record is from RNAcentral.
UACGGAAGGCAGCAGUGGGGAAUAUUGCACAAUGGGCGAAAGCCUGAUGCAGCUAUGCCGCGUGUAUGAAGAAGGCCUUAGGGUUGUAAAGUACUUUCAUCGGGGAGGAAAAAACAAAACUAAUAAUUUUAUUUCUUGACGUUACCCGAAAAAGAAGCACCGGCUAACUCCGUGCCAGCAGCCGCGGUAAUACGGAGGGUGCUAGCGUUAAUCAGAAUUACUGGGCGUAAAGAGCACGUAGGUGGUUUUUUUAAGUCAGAUGUGAAAUCCCUGGGCUUAACCUAGGAACUGCAUUUUGAAACUGAAAUACUAGAGUAUCGUAGAGGGAGGUAGAAUUCUAGGUGUAGCGGUGAAAUGCGUAGAUAUCUGGAGGAAUACCUGUGGCGAAAGCGGCCUCCUAAACGAAUACUGACACUGAGGUGCGAAAGCGUGGGGAGCAAACAGGGAUUACGAUACC